RNAcentral lists this ribosomal RNA (404 nucleotides) under uncultured bacterium. RNAcentral describes it as "bacterial SSU rRNA". It matches the Rfam family "Bacterial small subunit ribosomal RNA", at positions 355 to 776 of the family's 1533-position model. The record is from RNAcentral.
UGGGGGAUAUUGCACAAUGGGGGAAACCCUGAUGCAGCGACGCCGCGUGAGUGAAGAAGUAUUUCGGUAUGUAAAGCUCUAUCAGCAGGGAAGAAGAUGACAGUACCUGAGUAAGAAGCCCCGGCUAACUACGUGCCAGCAGCCGCGGUAAUACGUAGGGGGCAAGCGUUAUCCGGAUUUACUGGGUGUAAAGGGAGCGUAGACGGCUAUGUAAGUCUGGAGUGAAAGCCCGGGGCCCAACCCCGGGACUGCUUUGGAAACUGUGUAGCUGGAGUACAGGAGGGGCAGGCGGAAUUCCUGGUGUAGCGGUGAAAUGCGUAGAUAUCAGGAGGAACACCGGCGGCGAAGGCGGCCUGCUGGACUGAAACUGACGUUGAGGCUCGAAAGCGUGGGGAGCAAACAGG